GCACCCGUAGCUCAGCUGGAUAGAGUACCUGGCUACGAACUUGGGGGUCGCACGUUCGAAUCGUGCCGGGUGCGCCA
RNAcentral lists this transfer RNA (77 nucleotides) under Pseudohongiella sp. Its description in RNAcentral is "tRNA-Arg". It matches the Rfam family "tRNA". Rfam says of the family: Transfer RNA (tRNA) molecules are approximately 80 nucleotides in length. Their secondary structure includes four short double-helical elements and three loops (D, anti-codon, and T loops). The record is from RNAcentral. Lineage: Bacteria; Pseudomonadati; Pseudomonadota; Gammaproteobacteria; Pseudomonadales; Pseudohongiellaceae.